RNAcentral lists this ribosomal RNA (400 nucleotides) under uncultured bacterium. RNAcentral's name for it is "bacterial SSU rRNA". It matches the Rfam family "Bacterial small subunit ribosomal RNA", at positions 29 to 414 of the family's 1533-position model. The record is from RNAcentral.
AACGAACGUUAGCGGCGCGCUUAACACAUGCAAGUCGCACGAGAAAGGGCUUCGGCCCCGGUAAAGUGGCGCACGGGUGAGUAACACGUGGAUAAUCUUCCCUCGGGCGGGGGAUAACCUUCCGAAAGGAGGGCUAAUACCGCAUAAGACCACGACUCCGAAAGGAGAUGAGGUCAAAGCCGGCCUCUAUUCAUAAGCUGGCACCUGAGGAUGAGUCCGCGGCCCAUCAGCUAGUUGGCAGGGUAAUGGCCUACCAAGGCGAAGACGGGUAGCUGGUCUGAGAGGAUGAUCGGCCACACUGGAACUGAGACACGGUCCAGACUCCUACGGGAGGCAGCAGUGGGGAAUCUUGCGCAAUGGGCGAAAGCCUGACGCAGCGACGCCGCGUGAGUGAUGAAGG